UACGGGGGGGGCAAGCGUUGUUCGGAAUUACUGGGCGUAAAGGGCUCGUAGGCGGCCAACUAAGUCAGACGUGAAAUCCCUCGGCUUAACCGGGGAACUGCAUCUGAUACUGGAUGGCUUGAGUUCGGGAGAGGGAUGCGGAAUUCCAGGUGUAGCGGUGAAAUGCGCAGAUAUCAGGAAGAAUAUCCGUGGCGAAGGCGGCUCUCUGGUACGGCACUGACGCUGAGACGCGAAAGCGUGGGGAGCGAACAGG
This 253-nucleotide ribosomal RNA is filed under the name uncultured bacterium. RNAcentral's name for it is "partial 16S ribosomal RNA". It matches the Rfam family "Bacterial small subunit ribosomal RNA", at positions 524 to 776 of the family's 1533-position model. The record is from RNAcentral.